This 1353-nucleotide ribosomal RNA is filed under the name Triticum aestivum (bread wheat). Its description in RNAcentral is "partial small subunit ribosomal RNA". The record is from RNAcentral. Lineage: Eukaryota; Viridiplantae; Streptophyta; Magnoliopsida; Poales; Poaceae.
AUGAUGUGUACAUUUACCACGCACACACUUUGUUCCGUUUGUGUCUCUUUUUGUGUAGGUACCCAUGAACACUCGUCAACCUCACAAUCCCAUGAGUUGAGGAAACGAGCUCUAGAGAGCAAUGAUGACUUGGGAUCCCGUGGAUUGUCCUUACCACCACUCCCUUCGCGUAAAGACUUCGCACAUCUCUUCUACACGGCCCUCACAUGGUUAUGGGUUAUUUACCACUUCUCACUUUAUGCCCAUAUUGCCAUGCUCACUUUGCAUGAUAUGCUCAUUCCUAUGCCUUUGCCAUGCAUUUGUUACCCAUGCUUUGCAUUACACAUGGUGAUUGAUUCUAGUACGUGUAUGUGUAUUUGCAUGCUUGGUGUAGAUAUCACUUGUUAUUACCAUGUUUGCUUUGUGCCCCAUGCCUAUGAUGAUACUAUGAUCUUGCUUUGUGUUCGUUCUUGCGAUAUGUCAUGUGCAUUGCCUAUGCCUAUUAUUUGCUCACAUGACAUGAUUGCCAUGAUUUCCUCUAGUGUGUUGCAUCUUCGCUCCACUAGUUUGCAUGACAUGAUUGAUAUGCUUACUUAUGUUGCAUCACCGAUGAUUCAUACUUGCUCGUUUCUUGCGGUUGAUGGCAUCCAUUUCCAUGCUUUGCACAUGAUUGACUUGAUUGCCUCACACAUAUCAAAAAAUUGCUCUUCCCUUUGUGUUGAGUGCCAUGAUAUCUUCACUACACCAUAUGCACAUUAUGCUUGGAUUGUCUUGCACUCGCCCCAUGUGUUUAGACAUCUAACUAUAUUUGGUGUUGUGAAUGAUUCCUAUGCAUACCAUAGACUAUUUGUUGAGUGCUUUAUGGAUGCUUGCUAUGACCUCGAGGUAGAUGCUUGUUCACUUGUCACACAUAUUAGCAUCUUCACCUCACAUUUGCAUGCUUGUUUCCAUGAUGUCCUUGAGUGUGCUCAGCUUAUAUGCAUAAAUGCCAUGCCACACUUCUUUGUCAAACCACAUGCUAUGCUUGAUGACAACACUUGUCGGGUGAAUCACCUCUUGAAUGCUUGUUUUUUCUCUUACGCCAACCACAUUUGUUUUUCCAAGUGCUUGUUAUCUUUGCUCCUUUUGAAGGAAUUACAAGACGGUCCAACAUUGGAGGGUGCCCAUUUGACACAACAAGAUGAUGAAUGCUUGGUGAUCGUCCACUUCUACACGGCAACAUCAUCUCUUUCCAAUGGUGAUUUGGAUUUUGAUCCGAGGUUGGAUCUUUCCCAAGGGGGAGGGGAUGAUGCGGGCAUCCUAUGGACAUCACCAUGUCAAGAGUCCAUUUGGAAAGUGACACGUGCCACAUCUACUUCAUACAUACAAAGGUGA